GUCCUCGUCGUUCAAUGGAUAGGACACUAGCCUCCGAAGCUGGUGAUGCGCGUUCGAUUCGCGCCGAGGGCACUA
Molecule: transfer RNA, 75 nt
Filed under: Candidatus Staskawiczbacteria bacterium RIFOXYA2_FULL_32_7
Lineage: Bacteria; Candidatus Staskawicziibacteriota
Description: tRNA-Arg
Rfam family: tRNA
About the family: Transfer RNA (tRNA) molecules are approximately 80 nucleotides in length. Their secondary structure includes four short double-helical elements and three loops (D, anti-codon, and T loops). Further hydrogen bonds mediate the characteristic L-shaped molecular structure. tRNAs have two regions of fundamental functional importance: the anti-codon, which is responsible for specific mRNA codon recognition, and the 3' end, to which the tRNAs corresponding amino acid is attached (by aminoacyl-tRNA synthetases). tRNAs cope with the degeneracy of the genetic code in two manners: having more than one tRNA (with a specific anti-codon) for a particular amino acid; and 'wobble' base-pairing, i.e. permitting non-standard base-pairing at the 3rd anti-codon position.
Source: RNAcentral